AAAGCUUGCUUUUCUGAAUCUAGUGGCGAACGGGUGAGUAACACGUAGGUAACCUGCCCAUGUGCCCGGGAUAACUUCUGGAAACGGAUGCUAAAACCGGAUAGGUAGCAGACAAGCAUUUGACUGCUAUUAAAGUGGCUAAGGCCAUGAACAUGGAUGGACCUGCGGUGCAUUAGCUAGUUGGUGAGGUAACGGCCCACCAAGGCGACGAUCAGUAGCCGGACUGAGAGGUUGAACGGCCACAUUGGGACUGAGACACGGCCCAAACUCC
RNAcentral lists this ribosomal RNA (271 nucleotides) under uncultured bacterium. Its description in RNAcentral is "partial 16S ribosomal RNA". It matches the Rfam family "Bacterial small subunit ribosomal RNA", at positions 75 to 339 of the family's 1533-position model. The record is from RNAcentral.